UGGGGAAUAUUGCACAAUGGGGGGAAACCCUGAUGCAGCGACGCCGCGUGAGUGAAGAAGUAUUUCGGUAUGUAAAGCUCUAUCAGCAGGGAAGAUAAUGACGGUACCUGACUAAGAAGCCCCGGCUAACUACGUGCCAGCAGCCGCGGUAAUACGUAGGGGGCAAGCGUUAUCCGGACUUACUGGGUGUAAAGGGUGCGUAGGUGGUAUGGUAAGUCAGAAGUGAAAACCCGGGGCUCAACUCCGAGGAUUGCUUUUGAAACUAUCAGACUGGAGUACG
This 280-nucleotide ribosomal RNA is filed under the name uncultured Anaerostipes sp. RNAcentral describes it as "partial 16S ribosomal RNA". It matches the Rfam family "Bacterial small subunit ribosomal RNA", at positions 355 to 650 of the family's 1533-position model. The record is from RNAcentral. Lineage: Bacteria; Bacillati; Bacillota; Clostridia; Lachnospirales; Lachnospiraceae.